This 480-nucleotide ribosomal RNA is filed under the name uncultured bacterium. Its description in RNAcentral is "bacterial SSU rRNA". It matches the Rfam family "Bacterial small subunit ribosomal RNA", at positions 19 to 518 of the family's 1533-position model. The record is from RNAcentral.
AUGGCUCAGGACGAACGCUGGCGGCGUGCUUAACACAUGCAAGUCGAACGGGAGUAUUGAAGAAGCUUGCUUUAGAGAUACUUUAGUGGCGGACGGGUGAGUAACGCGUGAGGAGCUGUCCUAUGCAGGGGGACAACAGCUGGAAACGGCUGCUAAUACCCCAUAAGCCGAGAGGUAAAAGGAUCAAUCCGGCAGAGGAGGUACUCGCGUCCUAUCAGCUAGUAGGUGAGGUAACGGCUCACCUAGGCGAAGACGGGUAGCCGGCCUGAGAGGGCGAACGGCCACACUGGAACUGAGAUACGGUCCAGACUCCUACGGGAGGCAGCAGUGGGGAAUAUUGGGCAAUGGGGGGAAAAACCCCUGACCCAGCGACGCCGCGUGGGUGAAGAAAUCCUUCGGGAUGUAAAGCCCUGUUGUAUGGGAAGAGCGGAAGACGGUACCAUACGAGGAAGCCCCGGCAAACUACGUGCCAGCCGCGGC